GGUUGGGUUUGUCUUUUGUGUAUAUGUUACAGACUGUAAAUCUGCCGUCAUCGACUUCGAAGGUUCGAAUCCUUCCCCCACCACCA
RNAcentral lists this transfer RNA (86 nucleotides) under Escherichia sp. S69_ASV_4. RNAcentral's name for it is "tRNA-OTHER". It matches the Rfam family "tRNA". From Rfam's summary of the family: Transfer RNA (tRNA) molecules are approximately 80 nucleotides in length. Their secondary structure includes four short double-helical elements and three loops (D, anti-codon, and T loops). Further hydrogen bonds mediate the characteristic L-shaped molecular structure. tRNAs have two regions of fundamental functional importance: the anti-codon, which is responsible for specific mRNA codon recognition, and the 3' end, to which the tRNAs corresponding amino acid is attached (by aminoacyl-tRNA synthetases). tRNAs cope with the degeneracy of the genetic code in two manners: having more than one tRNA (with a specific anti-codon) for a particular amino acid; and 'wobble' base-pairing, i.e. permitting non-standard base-pairing at the 3rd anti-codon position. The record is from RNAcentral. Lineage: Bacteria; Pseudomonadati; Pseudomonadota; Gammaproteobacteria; Enterobacterales; Enterobacteriaceae.